RNAcentral lists this ribosomal RNA (519 nucleotides) under uncultured bacterium. RNAcentral describes it as "partial 16S ribosomal RNA". It matches the Rfam family "Bacterial small subunit ribosomal RNA", at positions 355 to 882 of the family's 1533-position model. The record is from RNAcentral.
UGGGGAAUAUUGGACAAUGGGCGGAAGCCUGAUCCAGCAACGCCGCGUGAGGGAUGACGGCCUUCGGGUUGUAAACCUCUUUCAGCGGGGACGAAGCGCAAGUGACGGUACCCGCAGAAGAAGCACCGGCCAACUACGUGCCAGCAGCCGCGGUAAUACGUAGGGUGCGAGCGUUGUCCGGAAUUAUUGGGCGUAAAGGGCUCGUAGGCGGUUUGUCGCGUCGGGAGUGAAAACGCCGGGCUUAACUCGGUGCUUGCUUUCGAUACGGGCAGACUAGAGGCAUGCAGGGGAGAACGGAAUUCCUGGUGUAGCGGUGAAAUGCGCAGAUAUCAGGAGGAACACCGGUGGCGAAGGCGGUUCUCUGGGCAUGUCCUGACGCUGAGGAGCGAAAGUGUGGGGAGCGAGCAGGAUUAGAUACCCUGGUAGGUCCACACCGUAAACGUUGGGCGCUAGGUGUGGGAUCCAUUCCACGGGGUUCCGUGCCGCAGCUAACGCAUUAAGCGCCCCGCCUGGGGAGUA